This is a long non-coding RNA of Ostrea edulis (European flat oyster), 1105 nucleotides long. RefSeq lists it as uncharacterized. The transcript is spliced from 2 exons. The record is from RefSeq and is a predicted model, not a curated record. NCBI's taxonomy places the organism in Eukaryota, Metazoa, Mollusca, Bivalvia, Ostreida, Ostreidae.
AAUUUAUGUACCAUUAUGACUAGGUUCUCAAUCAGAUAAUUGUGCAUACCAAUGUUGAUAGGUCCCCAAUCAGAUUACGGUACCCUACACAGGAUUAUGACUAGGUUUUCAAUCAGAUUAUACUAGAUAUUGUUGUCUCCCCAGCUCCCCAAAUUGAAAGUGCACCAAAUGAAACCUCCUCCCCUUCAUGUACUGCAUGGUAUGGAGGAGAAAGCAUGAACAGGAACAUAGACAUUAUGAACUCUGAUAAGCCAUAUAAUAGUGUUCACAAACUAUUUAACAAACCCUCAGAGCCACUAUAAAUUUUAGGAUGACAAUUAGUGUUGUACUGAUAAUCAGAAAACAUCGAUUAACGACGAAAAAAAGCUACCGAUUCCGAUGAUCGAUUAUUAUUUUUCAUAAUCGAUCAUCGGAUCCACACAUCUCAUAGAGCGCAUUCCGAAAUUAGACCGUUUCCGUUAUUGUUUUACCUGUGCCAGGAAAAAAAAAAUGGCAUCAAACAAUGGAAUAUAUGAUCACCCGAGCGUGAAAAAGAAGUCAGAAGUAUGGAAGUAUUUCGGAAGGUAGAUAUCAAUUUACCUCCAAGUAAAACGAACCUAAAUCUAAAUCUAAAUAAAGCCGUGUGCCGUAUUUGCUACAAGGAAUACACCAACACUGUAUUUUGAAGAGACCAGACGUUACCUGGGGAUGGCACUGAAAGAAGAUGACAAAGGGCUCACAGUUCUAGAGUAGUGGCAAAAAAAUGAAAUGCUUUCCCCCAGAAUAGCAGUUCUUGCAAAAAAGAUUUUAUGUGUUCAAGCUAGUAGCGUGCCAUCAGAGAGAGUAUUUUCUCUUGCUGGUGGGUUGGUGUCAAAAAAGAGAAGUAGGCUGAGUGCAGAUAAUGUAGAUUUGUUUAUUUUCUUGAACAAAAACAUGAGUAAAUUUUGGUGAGAGAUUGAAUGGUAUUAUGCUUAAGCCAGAGACAGUAGAGAUUUAGAUUAAAAUGCUGAGUUUUACAUCAUACUGGUGUUUAGUUUAUCUUGCUAUUUCUCUCCUAGAAAGAGCUGUUAACUAUUUGUUUAAGAAAUGUAAUGCUUUGUAUUGAAUAAAAAACAAAUCUGCACUA